Molecule: unclassified non-coding RNA, 246 nt
Filed under: uncultured Lasiosphaeriaceae
Lineage: Eukaryota; Fungi; Ascomycota; Sordariomycetes; Sordariales; Lasiosphaeriaceae
Description: sequence contains ITS2
Source: RNAcentral
AACGCACAUUGCGCCCGCUAGUAUUCUGGCGGGCAUGCCUGUUCGAGCGUCAUUUCAACCAUCAAGCCCCUGUGCUUGUGUUGGAGCCCUGCGGCUGCCGCAGGCUCCCAAACCCAGUGGCGGGCUCGUCGUCGUACCGAGUGCAGUAAAUUUACCACGCUCAGGGCACGCGACGGGUGACCGGCCGUAAAACCCCCCCUUCUCAAGGUUGACCUCGGAUCAGGUAGGAAUACCCGCUGAACUUAA